UUAGUGUUUAAUUUUUUAGUUCUCUGAUGAACCCUCCAUGACUCCCUUUUUAAAACUUUUAAAUUAUGUCUAAAGCAUGGGACGAUUGGAAUGAUGCUGCUAGUCAACCAAAAACUUCCUCAAGUUCCGUUGAAGAUUCAUCAAAUAGGGAUCCACCUACGCCUAUUUUUUUAAAGUAUGAAGAAGAAAGUAAACUUACCUCCUCGCUUAUUUGCUCAAAAUUUACAAGUAACUCAGCACCUUCAAUUCGCAUUUUAAAGCGUUCAACCGACCAUGGAAACAAUCGAGAUGUUUCUUCUAAAACACUGAAUAAAGUUCUUUUAACUGGGUCUUCAAGUGAAGCCUUGAGUAUCGAAGAACGCGAAAAGGAAUAUGAGAAGGCAAAAAAGCGCAUAUUUGGAUCUUCGCAUUAUAGU
Molecule: long non-coding RNA, 416 nt
Organism: Zophobas morio
Lineage: Eukaryota; Metazoa; Arthropoda; Insecta; Coleoptera; Tenebrionidae
Exons: 4
Source: RefSeq, a predicted model, not a curated record